UACGAAGGGUGCAAGCGUUAAUCGGAAUUACUGGGCGUAAAGCGUGCGUAGGCGGUUUGUUAAGUCUGUUGUGAAAUCCCCGGGCUCAACCUGGGAAUGGCAAUGGAUACUGGCAAGCUAGAGUGUGUCAGAGGAUGGUGGAAUUCCCGGUGUAGCGGUGAAAUGCGUAGAGAUCGGGAGGAACAUCAGUGGCGAAGGCGGCCAUCUGGGACAACACUGACGCUGAGGCACGAAAGCGUGGGGAGCAAACAGGG
This 254-nucleotide ribosomal RNA is filed under the name uncultured bacterium. RNAcentral's name for it is "partial 16S ribosomal RNA". It matches the Rfam family "Bacterial small subunit ribosomal RNA", at positions 524 to 777 of the family's 1533-position model. The record is from RNAcentral.